Long non-coding RNA from Xenia sp. Carnegie-2017, 263 nucleotides. RefSeq lists it as uncharacterized. Lineage: Eukaryota; Metazoa; Cnidaria; Anthozoa; Malacalcyonacea; Xeniidae. The transcript is spliced from 3 exons. The record is from RefSeq and is a predicted model, not a curated record.
GAGUCUGAGAGCGAGAUCAGCUCGGUUAGUUCGGCAUCGAACAUUUCUUCAGGACCUGAUUACAGUUAUCUUGUGAGCAUGGCCAUACUUAGUCUCUCAGAAGAAAAAAAGGAUGAACUGUUAAAGCAAAGAGAUGAUAAGAUAUCUGACCUGGCUGCGCUGUGCGAAAAGACGCCAAAGGAUUUGUGGCUGGAAGAUCUUGACGCAUUUCUUGAAGAACUCGAAAUUGUCGACACCAAAGAACGUGAGGAUUCUGAAGCUGC